GGCUGAGCUAACUUCACUCCUGUUCGCUCCUGGGAGGCUUGUCCUUUUCCUUAUCAUCUCCUGGCUUAACAAGCAGAUUCGUGCCCUCUAGACCGCCCUCUCCUCCAGGGCUGAUCCAGCCACGUCAUUUACUUUCAGGAAGCUGUGUGAAGUCUUAGCGUUUCACCCAGCAGAAGACAAUGACCUCCAGAGUGUCCCAUUUAUUUCGGAAUGGUGAUUCUUCAUCGUCAAUUUGCCCGGAUUUGGAAUCACCUAGGAGACACACCUCCUGCUAUGCCCGACACAGCAUUUCCAGAGAACUUUCACCGAGGAUGGAAGAACAACCCUGCAUAAGAGUGAUUUAUCCCACAGCAGGGAUCCCAAGCUAAAGUAAAAGAGAAAAGAGGUAGAGAAGGGAGCACCAGGGUUCAUGCGGCUGUUUGACUACAUAUGCAAUGUAACCAGCCGCAUUGUGCUCCUGGAGCGCCAGGGUUCAUGCCGGCUGUUUGACCACAUAUGCAAUGCGACCAGCUGCAUGGAGCUCCUGGUGUCAGAGCUAGGGCCACCCUGGCUGCCAGACUGUCCCAUCAUGGUGUACUGUAUC
Molecule: long non-coding RNA, 583 nt
Organism: Alexandromys fortis (reed vole)
Lineage: Eukaryota; Metazoa; Chordata; Mammalia; Rodentia; Cricetidae
Exons: 2
Source: RefSeq, a predicted model, not a curated record